AUCUACAGGCUUAACACAUGCAAGUCGAGGGGCAGCAUGGUCUUAGCUUGCUAAGGCCGAUGGCGACCGGCGCACGGGUGAGUAACACGUAUCCAACCUGCCGUCUACUCUUGGACAGCCUUCUGAAAGGAAGAUUAAUACAAGAUGGCAUCAUGAGUCCGCAUGUUCACAUGAUUAAAGGUAUUCCGGUAGACGAUGGGGAUGCGUUCCAUUAGAUAGUAGGCGGGGUAACGGCCCACCUAGUCUUCGAUGGAUAGGGGUUCUGAGAGGAAGGUCCCCCACAUUGGAACUGAGACACGGUCCAAACUCCUACGGGAGGCAGCAGUGAGGAAUAUUGGUCAAUGGGCGAGAGCUUGAACCAGCCAAGUAGCGUGAAGGAUGACUGCCCUAUGGGUUGUAAACUUCUUUUAUAAAGGAAUAAAGUCGGGUAUGGAUACCCGUUUGCAUGUACUUUAUGAAUAAGGAUCGGCUAACUCCGUGCCAGCAGCCGCGGUAAUACGGAGGAUCCGAGCGUUAUCCGGAUUUAUUGGGUUUAAAGGGAGCGUAGAUGGAUGUUUAAGUCAGUUGUGAAAGUUUGCGGCUCAACCGUAAAAUUGCAGUUGAUACUGGAUAUCUUGAGUGCAGUUGAGGCAGGCGGAAUUCGUGGUGUAGCGGUGAAAUGCUUAGAUAUCACGAAGAACUCCGAUUGCGAAGGCAGCCUGCUAAGCUGCAACUGACAUUGAGGCCCGAAAGUGUGGGUAUCAAACAGGAUUAGAUACCCUGGUAGUCCACACGGUAAACGAUGAAUACUCGCUGUUUGCGAUAUACUGCAAGCGGCCAAGCGAAAGCGUUAAGUAUUCCACCUGGGGAGUACGCCGGCAACGGUGAAACCCAAAGGAAUUGACGGGGGCCCGCACAAGCGGAGGAACAUGUGGUUUAAUUCGAUGAUACGCGAGGAACCUUACCCGGGCUUAAAUUGCAGAUGAAUUACGGUGAAAGCCGUAAGCCGCAAGGCAUCUGUGAAGGUGCUGCAUGGUUGUCGUCAGCUCGUGCCGUGAGGUGUCGGCUUAAGUGCCAUAACGAGCGCAACCCUUGUUGUCAGUUACUAACAGGUUCCGCUGAGGACUCUGACAAGACUGCCAUCGUAAGAUGUGAGGAAGGUGGGGAUGACGUCAAAUCAGCACGGCCCUUACGUCCGGGGCUACACACGUGUUACAAUGGGGGGUACAGAGGGCCGCUACCACGCGAGUGGAUGCCAAUCCCCAAAACCUCUCUCAGUUCGGACUGGAGUCUGCAACCCGACUCCACGAAGCUGGAUUCGCUAGUAAUCGCGCAUCAGCCACGGCGCGGUGAAUACGUUCCCGGGCCUUGUACACACCGCCCGUCAAGCCAUGGGAGCCGGGGGUACCUGAAGUGCGUAACCGCGAGGAGCGCCCUAGGGUAAAACUGGUGACUGGGGCUAA
Molecule: ribosomal RNA, 1442 nt
Filed under: uncultured bacterium
Lineage: Bacteria
Description: bacterial SSU rRNA
Rfam family: Bacterial small subunit ribosomal RNA
Source: RNAcentral